UACGGGGGGGGCAAGCGUUGUUCGGAAUUACUGGGCGUAAAGGGUUUGUAGGUGGCUUGUUAAGUCAGACGUGAAAUCCCUCAGCUUAACUGGGGAACUGCGUCUGAUACUGGCGAGCUUGAGUGCAGGAGAGGAACGCGGAAUUCCAGGUGUAGCGGUGAAAUGCGUAGAUAUCAGGAGGAACACCGGUGGCGAAGGCGGCUACCUGGACAGAGUCUGACGCUGAGGCACGAAAGCUAGGGGAGCAAACAGG
Molecule: ribosomal RNA, 253 nt
Filed under: uncultured bacterium
Lineage: Bacteria
Description: partial 16S ribosomal RNA
Rfam family: Bacterial small subunit ribosomal RNA
Source: RNAcentral